UAAUAAGUGUUUAUGGCACUUCUUAAAUCCAUAUCCACCUUGUGUGCAAUGUCAGUCCGAUUUUCUUAUGGAAGCUGCCAAACAUCAACUUAUCUUUUAACACUGUCUGUCUGAAAACUAUUAUGAAUAAACAAUUCAAAUA
Molecule: unclassified non-coding RNA, 142 nt
Filed under: soil metagenome
Description: partial internal transcribed spacer 1
Source: RNAcentral